UGAUUGCAUUGCGUAUAGGACCGUUUCAAAUGUUACGCGAGUUUUGCAUAACAACAACUAAAAUGCGACAUCAUCAUCGCGGGAAAACGAAAAUUCGCCAAGAAUGAAAAUUCAGCCUCCACCCAGAAGUAGGAUCUUGAAGGUAAGCCCGGUAAGCCAUUGUCGGGUACUCGGAAGAUCUGAACCAGAUCUGCUGCUAAAGGGCGAUCCUGGAACUAGUUCUAAACAGAUCAUCGGAUCUGGGUGUUUAUGGCGUCUUUCGGAAUAUCCGCGACAACUCGGAACCGAUGUCGGAACUGCGUUAUAGAUGGAAGUGGAAUUUUCCCUCGAAUUUUGUGCAAGCCGGGCAUGAUAGCUCACUCGGAACUGACCGACCGACUUCGGCAAGGAAGGAGUCAUCAGGCAACAGUUUCGAUGACGAUGAGGAUGAAUUUGAACCAGCUAUUUUGAACAAUCAGCACCGGCGAAAGCUGCAGCCUCGACUGUAGGGAAAAAAUGUCAGCUCCAGCAGCUAAACCUACAGCAUCUGUGACUGCCAGUUCCGGCCAACAAGCAAGUCGAGUAAAAACUCUUGCAAGGAAGAAAGAGGAACAACUGCUUUUGAAGAAACUGUGGUGGUGAUGGCGGUGACUUCUGCCAAGAAAAAUGAGGAAACCUCCGGAUUCCGACGCGGAGUCUAAGGAGAAACUAUUGCGGUCUCGGUCAGAAACGGAAAAAGGAUGAAGAAGAGAAGGUAGUGAUGUUGAAUAGGAAGAAUAGGAAUAGGAAGGUCCAUAAUAAAAUAACUUAUAAAAUGAUUCAUAAAAUUUGAUUUUUUUUAAUUCAAGUGAAUGAUAGCUCCGUUUAUAAGUUAAAAAAUUCCAAUCCAGGUUU
Molecule: long non-coding RNA, 873 nt
Organism: Aedes albopictus (Asian tiger mosquito)
Lineage: Eukaryota; Metazoa; Arthropoda; Insecta; Diptera; Culicidae
Exons: 3
Source: RefSeq, a predicted model, not a curated record